RNAcentral lists this non-coding RNA (157 nucleotides) under uncultured Sneathia sp. RNAcentral's name for it is "Lysine riboswitch". It matches the Rfam family "Lysine riboswitch aptamer". From Rfam's summary of the family: Riboswitches are metabolite binding domains within certain messenger RNAs that serve as precision sensors for their corresponding targets. Allosteric rearrangement of mRNA structure is mediated by ligand binding, and this results in modulation of gene expression. This family includes riboswitches that sense lysine in a number of genes involved in lysine metabolism, including lysC. The record is from RNAcentral. Lineage: Bacteria; Fusobacteriati; Fusobacteriota; Fusobacteriia; Fusobacteriales; Leptotrichiaceae.
UUUAGAUAGAGGUGCAUCAAAGAUCAGUAUAUUAUGGAGAUGGCAAUCUUAGAAGUAAUAGAAAGGCAAUGAUGCCGAAACACUAGUAAGCAAAGCUAGUAGUUGGGUAUAUAGAAAAUAUCUAUAUAACUGCCAUUUAAAUAAUGGGUGAGCUAUC